This 755-nucleotide ribosomal RNA is filed under the name uncultured archaeon. RNAcentral's name for it is "bacterial SSU rRNA". It matches the Rfam family "Archaeal small subunit ribosomal RNA", at positions 102 to 860 of the family's 1478-position model. The record is from RNAcentral.
AGUCAACAUGCCCAGGGGACGUGGAUAACCUCGGGAAACUGAGGAUAAACCGCGAUAAGUCACUACUUCUGGAAUGGGUAAUGACUUAAAUCUAUAUGGCCCCUGGAUUGGACUGCGGCCGAUCAGGCUGUUGGUGAGGUAAUGGCCCACCAAACCUGUAACCGGUACGGGCUCUGAGAGGAGGAGCCCGGAGAUGGGCACUGAGACAAGGGCCCAGGCCCUAUGGGGCGCAGCAGGCGCGAAACCUCUGCAAUAGGCGAAAGCCUGACAGGGUUACUCUGAGUGAUUUCCGUUAAGGAGAUCUUUUGGCACCUCUAAAAAUGGUGCAGAAUAAGGGGUGGGCAAGUCUGGUGUCAGCCGCCGCGGUAAUACCAGCACCCCGAGUGGUCGGGACGUUUAUUGGGCCUAAAGCAUCCGUAGCCGGUCAUGCAAGUCCUCCGUUAAAUCCACCUGCUUAACAGAUGGGCUGCGGAGGAUACUACAAGGCUAGGAGGCGGAAGAGGCAAGCGGUACUCAGUGGGUAGGGGUAAAAUCCUCUGAUCCAUUGAAGACCACCAGUGGCGAAGGCGGCUUGCCAAUACGCGCUCGACGGUGAGGGAUGAAAGCUGGGGGAGCAAACCGGAUUAGAUACCCGGGUAGUCCCAGCUGUAAACGAUGCAGACUCGGUGAUGAAUUGGCUUCAUGCCAAUUCAGUGCCGCAGGGAAGCCGUUAAGUUUGCCGCCUGGGGAGUACGGUCGCAAGACUGAAACUUAAA